GAUGAACGCUGGCGGCGUGCCUAAUACAUGCAAGUCGAGCGAACAGACGAGGAGCUUGCUCCUCUGACGUUAGCGGCGGACGGGUGAGUAACACGUGGACAACCUACCUAUAAGACUGGGGUAACUUCGGGAAACCGGAGCUAAUACCGGAUAAUAUAUUGAACUGCAUGGUUCAAUAGUUAAAGACGGUUUUGCUGUCACUUAUAGAUGGAUCCGCGCCGGAUUAGCUAGUUGGUGAGGUAACGGCUUACCAAGGCGACGAUGCGUAGCCGACCUGAGAGGGUGAUCGGCCACACUGGAACUGAGACACGGCCCAGACUCCUACGGGAGGCAGCAGUAGGGAAUCUUCCGCAAUGGGCGAAAGCCUGACGGAGCAACGCCGCGUGAGGGAUGAAGGUCUUCGGAUCGUAAAACGCUGUUAUUAGGAAAGAACAAAUGUGUAAGUAACUAUGCACGUCUUGACGGUACCUAAAGAGAAAGCCACGGCUAACUACGUG
Molecule: ribosomal RNA, 497 nt
Filed under: uncultured bacterium
Lineage: Bacteria
Description: partial 16S ribosomal RNA
Rfam family: Bacterial small subunit ribosomal RNA
Source: RNAcentral